UUUGGCGGGAAUAUUGAACUUUAAACCACCUUAUUCCCGGCGUGCACAGCAAUCCCCUCACGUCAUUUUCUCUUCAUAAAAUUAGUGUCCGCUUGUUUUCCAUCUACUUUCUUCAAAGUCUGUAUAUUAAUUAAGCAGAACGAAAGUUAAUGGCACAGUCUGGGGCACGGAGGGCAGAGCCGACGCCUUCAGCUUCCGCUGCCAACCUUCACACAUUAUACCUUAAUUUUACUUUUACCUUAUCGUAACAUUUGAUUUUCUGAAUUGUAGGCCACAGUUAACCUUUGCAUGUUCCAGUCACUGAUGUGUGAUGCAUAGCGUGUGCAGGGUCUUACUUUUUUUUUUUUACAGAAUUUCGUUGAACUGCUCGUUAUCCCUCCCAGACUCAGUGCCGUCAGCGGCCAUUUUUAUUUCUCUCCCCAGAAACCAUGGUUUAUAAAAAAAAGACCACCAGGGGUCCCCAUGCCAUCCAGAACAUAAUCUUGCCUGACUGCAGCAUCAUCUUUGUCGCAGCUGAAGAACAGGCUGGGACAAAGUCCAGGAAGUGAGGGUGGGACUAGCACUCCUCUGUGCUCACUCCUGUCCUAUCAGACGCCUGUCUGAAUACAGAAAGGAGGAGGUUACAGAGCAGCCUGCAGUGACUGAAUAAAGAGACCCAGCACAGCACAGCAGACUCAGUGAAUGCAUGGUGAGUGAGGGAGGGCUCAGUCCUUGCCUCGGACACUGCAGAAUGCCAGAAUUAGAGAGCAGCAGAAUGGAAGGAUUUGUAAGCCAGUCACAGAAGCUAUAGACAUAAAAAACCCAUGGAAAGAAUCUGCAUGACUUGGAAAUGCCAAAGUGUUAUUUACAGGCGCCUUCACCAGCCAAGCAGCUGAAUGUAGUGCAGACGGCAGAAGACCUAUACAUGGUGCAGCCGCUAUUCAUCUUAUCUUAUAUUAAAUCAGCAAUUAAUUCCCAGCUACCUUUAGAGGCUCAUAAUUUUCAUAUUGCGGUGUAUUAUCCAUUCAUGUGCCGGACAACACAGGCCAUCUAUGAAAGUGCAGAACUGUCCAUUACGCCCUGCAGAUACAACAAGUCCCUCAUAUCUGUAAAUGCCCCGACAUAAUGUGCAGAAUAAGAAAUUGUAUCAUUUAUUGACCCUUAUCUAUAAAGGGCUGGCAUAGUGCCAUGAGCAUCAUAAGCUUUAUGGACUCAUGCAUCAACUAGGCCAUGAAUAUCAGAUUGGUGGGGGGUUCUAUUCUGCAU
Hyla sarda is the source of this 1245-nucleotide long non-coding RNA. RefSeq lists it as uncharacterized. The record is from RefSeq and is a predicted model, not a curated record. The transcript is spliced from 3 exons. NCBI's taxonomy places the organism in Eukaryota, Metazoa, Chordata, Amphibia, Anura, Hylidae.